This is a non-coding RNA of Asterophora parasitica, 84 nucleotides long. NCBI's taxonomy places the organism in Eukaryota, Fungi, Basidiomycota, Agaricomycetes, Agaricales, Lyophyllaceae. The record is from the annotation of a GenBank genome assembly.
GGGUCGGUGGCGUAGUUGGUUAUCGCAUCUGUCUUACAUGCAACUGUUCACAGAAGGUCCUCAGUUCGAGCCUGGGUCGACUCA